CGCACCUUGCGCUCCUUGGUAUUCCGAGGAGCAUGCCUGUUUGAGUGUCUUGAAGUCAUCAACCCCUACCGUUUCGUGCGGUUUGCGUGUUGGAUCUGGGGGCUUGCUGCCGAGAGGUGGCUCCCCUAAAAUGCAUCGGUUGGGCCUGUGGGUCGUACUCGAUUGGGCGUUGUAUUAUCCUCGCUUUAACGAGAUGUUCCCCUCCUUGCGCCCCUCCACGACCUGCCUUAUGAGUGGCGGUCAAGCAAAAACUUUGAAAUUCUGACCUCAAAUCAGGUAGGACUACCCGCUGAACUUAA
Molecule: unclassified non-coding RNA, 299 nt
Filed under: Trechispora stevensonii
Lineage: Eukaryota; Fungi; Basidiomycota; Agaricomycetes; Trechisporales; Hydnodontaceae
Description: partial contains 5.8S ribosomal RNA, internal transcribed spacer 2, and large subunit ribosomal RNA
Source: RNAcentral